AAAGUUCUGUUUAUCCUAUUAAGUAUGCAAUAACAUUAUGUCUGAAAAUGUAGAUAUCUUAAUUAAAAAUACUUCAUUGCUAAAAAAUUCUAACCAUCAUGAGCCUUCAGUGAAUUGUAAUCUUUUUACAGGUGGAGGGCUUACUUCGAUGU
Molecule: long non-coding RNA, 152 nt
Organism: Phyllostomus discolor (pale spear-nosed bat)
Lineage: Eukaryota; Metazoa; Chordata; Mammalia; Chiroptera; Phyllostomidae
Exons: 3
Source: RefSeq, a predicted model, not a curated record